UGAGGAAUCUUCCACAAUGGGCGCAAGCCUGAUGGAGCAACGCCGCGUGCGGGACGACGCCUUUCGGGGUGUAAACCGCUUUUCUUCGGGACGAGUAUACGGACGGUACCGGAGGAAGAAGCCUCGGCUAACUACGUGCCAGCAGCCGCGGUAAUACGUAGGAGGCGAGCGUUGUCCGGAGUUACUGGGCGUAAAGGGUGCGCAGGCGGUGGCCUAAGUUUGCGGUGAAAGCUCCCGGCUUACCUGGGAGAGGGCCGUGAAGACUGGGGCACUUGAGGCUCGGAGAGGGACGUGGAAUUCCGGGUGGAGCGGUGAAAUGCAUAGAGAUCCGGAAGAACACCAACGGCGAAGGCAGCGUCCUGGCCGAGAUCUGACGCUCAGGCACGAAAGCGCGGGGAGCGAACAGGAUUAGAUACCCCCGUAGUCC
This 427-nucleotide ribosomal RNA is filed under the name uncultured bacterium. Its description in RNAcentral is "bacterial SSU rRNA". It matches the Rfam family "Bacterial small subunit ribosomal RNA", at positions 355 to 796 of the family's 1533-position model. The record is from RNAcentral.